UCUACGAGUCGGGUUGUUU
RNAcentral lists this small nuclear RNA (19 nucleotides) under Arabidopsis thaliana (thale cress). RNAcentral describes it as "snRNA_18339". Lineage: Eukaryota; Viridiplantae; Streptophyta; Magnoliopsida; Brassicales; Brassicaceae. The record is from RNAcentral.